Molecule: microRNA, 21 nt
Filed under: Chrysemys picta bellii (western painted turtle)
Lineage: Eukaryota; Metazoa; Chordata; Testudines; Emydidae
Also listed under: 1 other name
Description: Cpi-Mir-9579_3p (mature (guide))
Source: RNAcentral
CUCUCUUUGCUAGCGCUUCCA